GAACGCUGGCGGCGUGCUUAACACAUGCAAGUCGAACGAGAAAGUUUUCUUCGGAAAAUGAGUAGAGUGGCGCACGGGUGAGUAACGCGUAAGUAAUCUACCCUCAUAUCUGGGAUAACCACGGGAAACUGUGGCUAAUACCGGAUAGUUUCUUUUAGAUGCAGAUUUAAAAGAAUAAAGGUGGCCUCUGAUUAAGCUACUGUAUGAGGAUGAGCUUGCGUACCAUUAGCUAGUAGGUGGGGUAACGGCCCACCUAGGCAACGAUGGUUAGCUGGUCUGAGAGGAUGAUCAGCCACACUGGAACUGACACACGGUCCAGACUCCUACGGGAGGCAGCAGUGAGGAAUUUUGCGCAAUGGGGGAAACCCUGACGCAGCAACGCCGCGUGAGUGAUGAAGGCUUUCGGGUCGUAAAGCUCUGUCAAGUGGGAAGAAUUCACCUGAUGCUAAUAUCAUCAGGAAUUGACGGUACCACUGAAGGAAGCACCGGCUAACUCCGUGCCAGCAGCCGCGGUAAUAC
This 519-nucleotide ribosomal RNA is filed under the name uncultured bacterium. Its description in RNAcentral is "bacterial SSU rRNA". It matches the Rfam family "Bacterial small subunit ribosomal RNA", at positions 31 to 526 of the family's 1533-position model. The record is from RNAcentral.